Molecule: small RNA, 168 nt
Filed under: uncultured Enterocloster sp.
Lineage: Bacteria; Bacillati; Bacillota; Clostridia; Lachnospirales; Lachnospiraceae
Description: Clostridiales-1 RNA
Rfam family: Clostridiales-1 RNA
Source: RNAcentral
GAUACCAGGGUCAAAAGGUCAGAAAUCUGACGCAAGCUUACUUGCAGGAGGAUUUUUGACUUUGGGACCCGCCCAAAAUAUGAGUAAGUAGCCAUUUUUCGAAGAAAAAUGAGCGGAUUACGAAUGUUUUUGAGAAUUGCGGGAGUGCAAAGCACGGAGCAAUCCGGU